RNAcentral lists this ribosomal RNA (194 nucleotides) under uncultured bacterium. RNAcentral's name for it is "partial 16S ribosomal RNA". It matches the Rfam family "Bacterial small subunit ribosomal RNA", at positions 338 to 523 of the family's 1533-position model. The record is from RNAcentral.
CCUACGGGAGGCAGCAGUGGGGAAUAUUGGACAAUGGGCGCAAGCCUGAUCCAGCCAUGCCGCGUGUGUGAAGAAGGCCUUAUGGUUGUAAAGCACUUUAAGCGAGGAGGAGGCUACUUUAGUUAAUACCUAGAGAUAGUGGACGUUACUCGCAGAAUAAGCACCGGCUAACUCUGUGCCAGCAGCCGCGGUAA